This 459-nucleotide ribosomal RNA is filed under the name uncultured bacterium. RNAcentral's name for it is "partial 16S ribosomal RNA". It matches the Rfam family "Bacterial small subunit ribosomal RNA", at positions 338 to 795 of the family's 1533-position model. The record is from RNAcentral.
CCUACGGGUGGCAGCAGUGAGGAAUAUUGGUCAAUGGGCGGAAGCCUGAACCAGCCAAGUAGCGUGCAGGAUGAAGGUACAGAGUAUCGUAAACCUCUUUUGUCAGGGAACAAAGGCGGGGACGUGUCCCCGGAUGAGUGUACCUGAAGAAAAAGCAUCGGCUAACUCCGUGCCAGCAGCCGCGGUAAUACGGAGGAUGCGAGCGUUAUCCGGAUUUAUUGGGUUUAAAGGGGGCGCAGGCGGUCUGUUAAGUCAGCGGUCAAAGCCCGGGGCUCAACCCCGGCCCGCCGUUGAAACUGGCAGUCUCGAGUUGGAGAGAAGUAUGCGGAAUGCGCGGUGUAGCGGUGAAAUGCAUAGAUAUCGCGCAGAACUCCGAUUGCGAAGGCAGCAUGCCGGCUCCACACUGACGCUGAGGCACGAAAGCGUGGGUAUCGAACAGGAUUAGAUACCCGGGUAGUC